This 11370-nucleotide long non-coding RNA is filed under the name Panicum hallii. Its description in RNAcentral is "long non-coding RNA (PHAL_LNC000872)". Lineage: Eukaryota; Viridiplantae; Streptophyta; Magnoliopsida; Poales; Poaceae. The record is from RNAcentral.
UUUUUUUUUAAAAAAGGUGCUAUGCAGACCAAAUAAGGGAAGAAUCUGAAGGCAUACAUGGAAAGUGUAGGUGAUCUUGUCAUUGUAGUCGAUGACAUCCUUCCAUUUCUUGCCAAUGUUUACCUGCACAAUAAGGGAACAGGUCAACACAGAACAGCACAUCAAUACCAUCGAGAUAUUAGAAAAUGGCAAUGGAAAACUUCAAAGGCUGCAGCAUGGGAGCUCUUCAAUGGGAUAAUGAUGGCCAACAGAAGACGACUCAAACUGUAGGGAGAGGUUCAAGAAUUACAAAAUAAUAACUUAGGAAAGGUUUUUGGGCGUCUUUCUUCCAGUAUUCCUUGUUGAAUGCAUACAGGAUGGGAAUAUUGUUCACAUAACAAUUUUAUAAACAUAAACAUUACGCACAAAUACAACAUGUAAAAUUUCCUACAACAUCGUAUUAAAUAAAGAAACCAAGUAACCACUUUCACGCAAUAUCACAGUGUUGCUCACUCAAUAAGCUGUUUUGAACCCUGUAUCCCUGCACAACCAAAUAGCAUGCACAAAAACUCCUAGCAAACUAUAUAGUUCUCUUUCAGAGGGAGAUGAUUUGGGGUAUAUGCCCUUUCCAAGAAAGAAAGCAAUUUUGCAGCUUUAAUUGAUAGCAAAACAUGUCUGGUAGAACUAGUGUUGGAUAUCACUCCCUGUCUCUUGAGUGUUUAUCAUAAACACACUAGCUUUUUUCUCUUGGUGGACACGCACACAAGCACAAGAUGACAUAAGUAGUUUUUGGUCAAUGCGAUCACUUUAGCCCUCAUCGUUUUCUCACAUAUAUAGCAGAUACAAGGCUGCACACCUGUCCAUGAUAUCCUCCUAAUUAAAGCAGUCAAUGCCCAUAUGAUCUACAUAUUGUUCUCUUUAACUAGAAGCUGAAAUCUAUCCACUAAUAGGAAUGAAUCUAGGCACUAGCUGAACCUUGACACAUUCUAGUAAUGAGAUUAAUGCUAACAACUAGAACACCUGUCCAACCAAAAAACAAACUUAUAAUGCAAUCAAACAAGAUAUGGAACCUUGAAGAGAACUACAGUAAUACAAAACUUCUACAAUAACUAACUACCAUCUGCAUUUUGAAGUCUAGUAACGAGAUUAAUGCUAACAAAUAAAACACCUGUCCAACCAAAAACAAACUUAGAAUGCAAUCAAACAAGAUAUGGAACCUUGAAGAGAACUACAGUAAUACAAAACUUCUACAAUAACUAGCUACCAUCUGCAUUUCGAAGGGGACAAGACCAGCCAAGGUGAGCUAUGCACGCCUUGCGUAACUGUUACCCAAAGCGAACUCGGUCCACCUGGACGCCUAGGCGACGCCUUUGAAACACUGGCUAUCAUGCCACUGCAACGCUAAUACAAAAACUUCUACCAGAACUCGCAACAAAGGAAGCAGGAGGAACUGGGUAUCGAGAGAUGUAUACCAGAAGGCAGCACAGCAGCUAGGGAUUUGCACAGCUUAUUGACAAUAUUGGCAGGAAGACAACAGUGAACUAUAUAAAUCUACUUUCCCCUUUAUCAAGAUACGAACCAAAGCACUAUGGCAUAUAAGAAAAUAUCAGUAUCAUAACUGAUUACAGAAUUAGAAUGACUUUCAAAACCAACCUGGACAGCUUCAUUGCUGGCAGUCCUAGUCCAUAAUGCAAGCUUAUCUCCUCUCUGACGGACACUGGCAACAAUUCCACAGAUGUCCUCGGUUUCAUCAAACUGCUCUCCAAUAAGAGCCAUCAACUGCAUGUUCAAAUAGUUAUUCAAAGCUCCUUCAAUAAAUACAUCUCAGGUAAGAUCAGCUUCAGGCUGAUCUAUAAAGAACUUCCGAGCACCUGAACAUUUGAAAUAAGAUUAAGAAAGAUGUACCGUUUCAAGCCACAUGGUCUCAAAGGUUGCCUUUCUGUUGCAUGGGACAGUCCAUUUGCCACCAUUUGCACACUCUGGGUCUUCCCAUUUUGGCUCCACUCCAGCCUUGAACAGAUGAAAAUCAGCAUUCCCAGUCAACUUGCUUGGACGGAAAAUCUGAUCGUACAAGCUACACCAAGAAAGAAGGGAUCCAUAAGUAUACAGAUUCCAUAGAGUCAAAUUAAAAGGUGUUUAAGGUGAAAUACCACCAAAUAAAUAAGCUUAAAAUUACAUAAAUAGAAGACUUCAAAAGACAAAACACGUUGUGUAAGUAUUGUAAUCAUUGAUAGCUAUUGCUUAUUAGUUAAGGCUAAAACUAAGAGGUUAACACUUUCUAUAUGUGACAAGGGCACAAGUCUAAUGCAAGCCAGAACAUGUCUACCUUUUAUAGAAAAGGUUAGGUCAUGAAAGACCAGUGGAAGAAAUUCGGAGAAGAUUCAUUCUGUAUAUCCAACACGCCAAGAUGCUCAAACCAGGAAUAACACAGUAGAAUUAUCAGCAGUUGAUUCAUUUUAGUUCAGCGUGGAGUCUUUAACUGACAUACCAAUCUUAAUAUGAUAGAAAGCAACUCCUUAACUACAAGGAUAAAUCCCCCCUCUCUUAACGGACAUUGUAGAAUCUCUACUACAGCUGUACUUCAUUUGCUAUAGUAACAACUCUACCACCAUAUCGUCACUAAAAACACACGGGACAGCUAAAUAAACCAGCCAAACGCAAUCAACAAUCAGAACUAAUCCGAUGCAAACAGCAGAAAAUAAUAUCACGAACAGACAACUAACAUAUUUCAUCAUCUAUAUCAUAGUUUCAGAUUUCGUCGGCUAAGGUAACCUAGAACCCAAUCUACCCCGCAAAUAAUUCCCACCGCCACAUGCCGCCUAAAACACCACAGAAACUGAUGAUCAUGAACCAGCACGGCAUCCAGAUCGGAUCCGAGCGGAACGGAUCCGGAAGUGGCGUGGGAGAAGAGGCGAAGCCCCCGCGGCGUCGGUCACGUACCUCCAGAACUCCUCGACGGUGUCGAAGGUGUAGGCCUUUUUGAGGGAGGUGCCCCACGCGGCGCCGGGCUUGGGCUUCGACUGGAUGUCGUACCAGAAGGUCCACUGCCGGUGCAGCUUGUGCGGCCCCUUGGCCUCCGCCGCGGCGCCGCCCUCGGUCGCCGCGACCUCCGGGGUCGUCGCCGCCACAGCCGCCGGCGCAGUCUCAACCUCCGCCAUGUCGCGCCGCCGCCGCCGCUUUCCGAGGGUUUUUUUUUUGGGGUGGAGGGGGAGGGGUGGGGAUAGCCGAUACGAGAGGAGGGAGGGGAGACAGAGAGAGGCUGCGGCUGUCGAAGAGACGUGAAGGGGAAGAAGGGUUCGGCCUUUGGGGUGAGCGAGGUCGGCGUGGGCGUUUUGAUUGGGCUCCGGCCCAGUUCAUGUUGAAUUGCGGCAAACGAGGUACACAUUUUUCUCAGCUCGCUUACAGCACGAGCAUACAUUUGAUAUAUUUCUAUUUGUUCCUCAAUAAAUACUAUGGCAUCUAACUACACGAAUCGUACAAAUAUUACGAAACAGAUGAGGUAAUAAAUAAAUGGUUGCGAAAGCCUAACAUUUUAAUCUGAUGCGAAACCGUAUUUUAAAAAAGGAGCAGGAAUUGAUAGCUAAAAAGAAGAGGAAAAGCAUGAACAAGAAAGGCUAUUAAGAACGGUUGAAGAAAUCUCCAACCCGGGCAAUGGUGCUCCGAUGGCAGUAGAUAUUCCAGCACUGCUAGGGUCUCUUAUUUCAAGUUGGAGAGUAAUUUUCACAUGGAUCGAGCUAGAGCUAGAGGAAGGUCUAUGGGAGGUUGCUAGCUGAUGGCAGAGAUGAGUGAUGAACAAGAUGGCAAGACAGUACCCCUAUAAUGGGAUACUAAACAGUGGGUGUUGGAGGCAGCCAAGGAGGUGUCGAGUGGUUUCGUGAGCAACCAAAAGCUAGACAAAGGGCGGUGGCGGCAGGACAAUUUUGCCAGUUGAUAAGAUGCCAUCGCUAAGCCAAACGGGACAGUUAACUUAUUGAAAACAGUUUCAAUUUCAUCAGAGAAGCUUCAGAAGCCAUCACUAAAGGAGCUGCUUCAGAAGCUGUUUUUGUUUUAGGAGAAACUGAAGCUAUACCAAACGGCACAUUAGAUAGGCUAAAAUUGAGUGAUAACUUUAGCACAUAUUAGUAAUCAUAUUUUUGCUAAAGUUUUUAAAAUCUUAUCUAAAGUUUAGCCCACCCAUUAACACUUCUAUUUCUGUUUGAAUCCACUUUAAAGCUUUAACACUUGAAUCCAAACACCUCCUUAAUCUUUCUUUCAUGGAUAGUCUCAUUUCAUUUGAGCUUUGCUUCGUAUGCUCAUGCGAGUGAAAACGUAGUUGACUUCCUAUUGUUCCUAACUGUGAGGUGGAGCGAAGUUGUGACAGAUGAUAAUACACCACACCCUCUGAAGGUUACUUGGAACAGAAAGCAAUGUGGCGUUAAAAACCAUAACAGGGCUAUUACCAAAUAACAACCAAACUUUUACAAAGAGAUGUACAGAACCUUCACAUGACCUAACUGGUUAUAGUCACCUCAUCUGUGCAGUGUAUCACCUAACAACAGAUUAUACACCCUAGCCUAAAAUUGUCAAAGCUCAUAUUUCAGCUCGCUUUUGCCGUUCAAUUCUCAAUGAACCACAAAAAGAAAAGUAUAGCGGUGUGAGAACAAAUCAAUUUUCCUAAAACGAGAAGAAUUGGGCCAUCUGUGUAUGUGCUUGAGUAUCAAAAGGUGAGAUUCAAACCACGUCUCUUGUGGUUGGACAACACAGUGGUUGCGUUCUAUGUUUUUUAUAUGCUGACUUCCUCCUGUUCCUCAGAAAACUGCAAGUGUUGUGUAUAUUCAUGUCUACAAAUCAUGGAAGAGGCGCCUAAUUUGUUCAACAGUGGCAGGCAUCAGCGUGACAGGGCACCUUUUAUGCUGUAGCACAAAACAAUGCCAUAUAAGCUGAUGAUGGACAGACAAUGUGGCUGAAAUAUAUAUUUGUAUCUGAUAUGGUAGAACCCACCUGAGAGACGGACUUGAAUAUGCAGCUGUAGCAAAAAACAAAACCAGAAACAGAAAGAACAGAUGGGUUGGCACGCUUCUGGCAGCACAGGGGGCAGAGCGUCUUGUCAGUUGGCAAGGGGAUUCCGUCUUUGGCAACCUAAUAAAAAUGUUGCAGACCCAUAUGAGAUUGUAAUCAUGAACUAAAGGUUUCGUUAUUUAACAGUUUAACACAAAAUAUGUGAACUGCAGAGAAAACAACACAUUUCAGAAUACUUGCAAAAUCACGGGUUGACUACGUCAUAAGAGAAUGGUGGCAGGCUUAGAAUAAAUAGAUAUACCUUUGGAGUUGGUGGUGGAGGGGGUGGUGGAUAUACAGUUGGAGCGGACAUUCUUUCUUCAGCAGAUUGGUACCACCACUCCAUCAUCUAAGGUAAGGUUGCCAAAAGGAGAACAUUAAGUACAGUUCUGUAGUUGAAAUCAUGCUUUUCAUAUGGAGAUCUAACACAUGGAUAGAACUGGUUCAUGUAAACGCGUAAAAAAGUCUGCAAACAUCAUCAAGUAAGGACUUUGAUUUCUUAGCCAUUUCAAUAUUUAGAGGUUUAAGGAUGCCUUAAAGGAAUUAUUUCUCCCAUUAGUUUCAACUUUCAAUCGAAGUAUUUACAAAACAAAUAUCAAACAUUUGAACUCAGCAGCCUGCCUGUAAGAAGAUAUUCAAAGUGAGAGAUUAAAGAUAGAUUCUCUAAGACAGGAACUUGCAGAACAGACCUUGAAAAAGAAGACUGCAGCAAUUAAACCUGUUUGUGCAUAAUCUAGAGUUGUAUAUAUACAACUAAGGAACACCCGUUGCACAGCCUGCAGAGGUCAUACAAAAAAGUUCUUGUGAUGAGCUAGGGCUCGAAAAUUCACACAUGAAGCCAAUACAGCUACUGAGUACCGACAGUCCUCUCCUACCUUUAACCAUGGAGGACCACGAAGUCUUUCAAGUUCACGAUUUCUAAUCCUUGAUAUCCUAGAAGAUGAAUCCAUCUAUUUAUUCAGAUGACGAAAGAGAAAAUAUAUUAGGCACAUCAUCGUAUAAAGAAAUGGAACGUGUAAAUGUAUUUGCCCACUGGUUAGUGCUUCCAAUGAUUAAAAAAGGGUUUUGGUCAGAAAAGAAAGUGAUAAAAAAGGGGUGCCAUGUGAUACGAAAAAACACAGCGAUAAAUAUGCAAUAAUGGGAUUCUAAACAUGCCUCUGCAUAACUAAUAAUAAAUAUGCCAAUAAAAAGAAAGUGUUAAGUGCAAUACCAGCUCUUGUCCAGUAGCACGACAAACGUGAAGCCCUAGCACAUGCAGUGCUGGACUAUAAAAAGCAGUGGCAUCCAACAGAUACAGCAGCUGGUAUGCAAACGAGAGACCUGCAAACAAGGAUGCCAUAAGUGAAACUCUACAGCCCACAUGAUGAAACAAACAACCACGCAUUGCAUCAUUCUUUUGAUCACAUGAAACACAAAUGAAAUUGGGUUAUACUGGACAAAUAGACCAAAAAAAUACUAGCAAUGCAAAACUAAAAUGACAAGAUCAGAAGAUCAAAGUUUAUUCUCCGGAAAAAAGUGUCAAGAAAGGAUGAUGCAAAGGAAAUAAGGAAAAAUAGAGCUGAUUGUGAUUCUUCUCACUGGUGCUUUGUAACAAUAAUAUGGAAUAAUCAACUCCUAGAAGAGAAUCAAGACAGAACAGCACAGAUAUUACUUAUAAUUCAUACAGGAUGAAGAUUCAUGGGAGUAGCUGGUAAACAAACCUUCAUUAGUUGCAUGAAUCCAUGGAUAGCAAACGCCUAUGAGUGAGGCAAAGUUCUUCUUAAAACGUGUCAAGUUUGACACUUCUCCAAUUGUAGGGUCAUUCUGUGCUUGAGAAGUCUGCUCCUGAUCUAAUACAAAGCCAGCUUCAUCAAACCUCACAUCAUCCUGACCCCAAAGAGUUGCCUGCAACCUGGCUUCCCUUUCUCUAUUGUAUAUAGACUGCAACUUUGACUUAAAAUAUGGCAAAACAACCUACAAUAACAUCAGCAAAAGUUCAGCAUAAAGAGAAGAGUUAUUCCAUAAGCAACAACUUUCAUCAUUAUAUGAAGGAAAAUUUUGGCACACAUUGCUUUAUAUCAAAAGUUCAAUGUACAUAGUUAUUUACUUACCUUAGACACAAUUCAAGUUUUCAAUGGUUGCAUUUUGGGAAUGGCACAAUACAUGGACUAUUGAAAUCAGAAACUAACAUUUCCAAACAACAAAAAGAUAAAACAGGAAGACAUAUUUUAAUUUUUUUAUUCAUAAGGCAAGUUCUACUGAACAGUGAUAAAUGGACAUGGGUGUGGGUGUGGGUGUCUGAUCCAGCAGAUUUUUUUGGGACAUGCCAAAAACUACUUGGAAUCCAACGUGACUGAAGGGUGUCUGACUCAGAAAAAAAUUAGGACAAGGUCGUAUGAAUAAAACUGCAACUUAAGUGCACCCCAAAUCCAUUCAAUAUUUUUUUAAAAAAAAACUAAGUUAAGGACUAGGGUAGAAUAUAUCUUGAAGCAGGACAAGAACCAAUUGUCAAUAAUAUAAUGCAUAAAGGAAUAAGGAUAUAUACAUCCUUAUAGCAGUUGGGUACCGCAGGAAGCAAUUGCGCCACAUAUAUCACAACCAGAUGCCAACAAACUAACAAGAUUGAAAACUGAAAACCAUAACUGAGAUCCGAAGAUAGCAAUACAGUAACAGCAUCAGGGCCGUAAGUUAGGCAAAAGGCCUUUUCUGAUAUUCAUACUACAGAACUAGUCAGUUGUUCAUAGACAAAUCAGCUCAAUCUUAAUAAGAAACUCUUGGCGCAAACCAGAAUAGAAAUCUCAUGAAGCCAUGAGUCGAGAAACUCAAGUCAUGGCACUGAAUCUAGUUCAUGUACUUUUGCGAGUACCAAAUUUGAUAAUUCUUUUUAUAGCGAUAGCUAAGCAGCAAAUGGUAAAUUAUGUUUCCCCUAGGAAUGAAGAACAAAGCAGACACAAAGCUGCAGUGUGUCAGUAAAAUUGCUCGCAUCCUACCAAGAAAACCACCGAGAGGAUUUUCUGGCGCUUCCUUAGUGCAGAAGCAUAGACUUUAUCACUGGAUUCUGUACCAAGGCUCUUUCUCUUUACUGAAACCUUAACAGGUCUCCUCCUGAGACCAUAUAAUGACUCUGAAAAAGAACCAUCUGAAAGAAAACAAUUCGGAAAAGUUAAAAUAAAUACAAUUAAAAUUUGGUCACUGGGAUCAAGCUUGCUUAGUUAAGUUUGUCCAUUUGACCAGUUUGGUAAUAUUUUCACAUACAUUAGUAGAUUAAAGUAAGUUAACAGAGCAUGUUAGCAGUAAUCCUUGUGUUAGUUAUCUAUCUAACUAGAGUUAGUUUACUCAGGUUAGUGUAGGGUAUCUUCUGUCUUCCCUUAGUCAGCAAGCCUAGUUUCCUUAGGGGGUAAGUUCUUGGUCAGCAAGGACCUUUGGUCAGCAAGUAAGUCUAGCAGCUGUCUUUGACAGCCAGUAGUUGUGGUCAAGUUGGCUUUUGCAAGCUGCUGGACAGCAGCAAUCUAAGGAGCAAGCUCUUGCUUCAAAUGAACCAAGCCUCUCGUUUCAGCUCCUGCAGUUCCAAAACAGAACUGAGUGCUGCCUAGACACUCCCUGUUUCCCUUCCUGCUCAUCCUAUAGUUGCUGCAACCUCCAACAGAGCAGUCGGCAGUUAGGCCUAGUUUUUGGUCUGGCAAUAAGUUGGUCCAAGCAUGGGCUCUUUUGAUUCUAUUAAGAAAAAUAAACCUGUAGGGCUGGAUGAUACCAUUCCAAUAACCUCAGGUGGUAUGUAAACUAUGAGACAGAUAUGGUGAUAGUAAUGCAAGUAUGAACAUAAAAUAUGAUGGCUCGCUCUAUUAAAAAUAUUAGUAUACUGCUGCAUGAAAUUCUUUUCCCAAUAGGUUCAAGGGGGCUUCGUUGAAGAAAAUAAGACACUCAGAAUCAACAUUGUAAUGCCAGUUCCAUUAGUUUUCUGUAUUCCAAUUUCGUCCCUUACAAGUGUCCUAAACAGACUAGUGUUCUCAUGCAGAAAGUAUUAUGGUAGAGCAACAACGAACCUGUUGUUCGUAGACUGUGAGACUCAAGGACUCCCAUUAACAAGGCGAAGAAUUCAUCUUCAUAAUCUAAAACUUUGUGUAGUAAUGGCCUUCUUAGUGCAAAAACCUGCAAGUAAAAAUGAGUUAACCCUAAUCCACAUAAUUGGUGAAAUAAACUUUUCCGAAAUGCAUGGACGUCAUAUUUGGAGGAGAGAACAUCAAUAAGGAACGAUUAAAGUUUUUUGAGGGUACUCUUAUGCUUCCCUAAGUAAUGUUCGUAUGCAACUUUGCACAAUCAAACAUAAAAAAUGAGUUGUAGAUUGUAGAAUACUCAUUUCAUAUAAAUUGAAGUAGCUGGAUAGUUUUGUAAAGAUAAAACUGUUGAAAUAUAACUUAUACACCUACCUAUCAGUUGAGUGUAAUUGGUAACAGGGAGGAAAAGUAUAGCAUGUGCAGCAAGGAAACCUAAGUAUAUUGGCUUUCCCCAAAAAAUAAUACACUGAUUUUAAGAGUAAUCUAUAUAUUAAUGAAGCAAUCAGAACAUUACUACAAUAAGAUACAUGAAAACAUGCAUCGGUUUGCUAAAAGAUACCGGAGCAAUGCGCAUUGGCAGAUGUUCAUAUCCUAUGUCCUGUUACACAUUAUAUUUCUUAUGUCACAUUGUAUGCAGGUUUUCUUGCGACAAUAUGUUGACCCUAUAUGUGAUGGUUAGUCUCCAAAAAUUGCAACACACAAGAAGUCAUCUACAUUAUCCAUAGUUUUCCACUGCACACAGAAGUGCAGAACAUCAUCAUGCUAGCAGCCAGCUCAAUGUGCAGUCCCAUACCACUCACACAAAUGAAUUCAGUCUGAGCCUGACGGUUAGCCAAAAUGGGCUAACCUAUAUAAUCUGAUCUCAAGCUCAGUUUGCACUUGCAAUUACGUCUAACGAACUAAACCUUACCGAACUCUCUUAAAGCUAAAGAUGGCAGGACAACAAAAAGCAGCGAGACAAACAACAUGUAGAAGCAGUGAAAAACUUCAUAAUCAUCCCCGAAACUAAGAUCACUUCAAUGCGUCAUUCCGCGACGCACUAUUGUGCCAUCCAUGACAUCGGGGGCACGCACGACUAAGCAACACGCCACGCAAUCCCCCGAACCAGGCACGGAAUCUCAGUGAUUCGAUCCAAUCAGAGACGAGCAAGUAAGGGGGUGAGGCGAGCGGUUUUACCCCGAGCGAGUAGGUGAGCGCGGCGCGGAGGCUGGCGGGAAGCUGCUGCGCGGCCGACAUCUCGAAGAAGGUGGGCCGCGCGCCCUGCCCUCCCACCUGGAACAGCAUCGCCGCUGCCCCCGCCGCCCGCGCCGCCUCCGGGGCUGCGGGAGGGAACUAGGGUUGCGGCCGCGGGCCGGGGCCUAGAGCUCGGCUGGCGCCGGAGCUGCGGCGGCGGCGGCGGGCGCGGCCGCUGCGGGGCGGUGUUAUCUGCUGGGAAGCGACGGUUUAGUGUUGGCUCGCGCGUCCACGGCGGUGAGGGGAACUCGCCAGGCAAGGGCAAGGAGAGGGAAGGUGGGACGCCGGAGAUGGGUUGGGGGGGAGAGUGGGAGACGAGACGAUCAGCGGCUCGACCGAGGAGAGGGGAGGAAUCGCGACACGACUGAUCGGGCCUUGGCGGGUCAAGAGGCCGAUCUGCCAACAUUUGGGCGGUCCAGAAGGUACGGGCUGUAUGGGCCGAAAACACAACAGCAACGGUUGCCGCCGGUGAUCAGGUUGGGUUUUGGGCUUUUGACUCCGUGUUUGGUUUUCUGCCAUCUUUUAUUUGAUUUUCUGCUAAUUGAGUUUUGGGCUUUUGGCUCCUCGUUUGCACUCAAAAAAAGGAAAAGUAACGUUCCCCUCAGACAGCUGCCCAAGGUCUUGAUUUAAUGGUAAUUUCAAACCUUAAUUACACCGAACGCGCAACUCCUGUACAGCAGCAAAAUACUCCUCACCGAUCCACACUCACACUAGGAAGAGACCUAGCUUAAAAGCGGUGGCCGGAGGAGCCAAUGCCGUCGUCGAAGUUCCGGGAGUAGCUCUGCAGGUCGUAGCCGAACCUCACCGCGGCCCGGCCCGGCCUCCCGGCGCUCAGCCUGCACCGCAGCAGCCUCCUUAACAGCUGCUUCACCGGUGCCGCCGCUCCGCCGUCGCUCCCCGCGCCGACCCUCCGCCGGCCGCCACCGCCUCUGGACGUGCCCAUGGACAGCAGAGACACCAUGCUUCGCUCUCUCGAUCGGUCACACCGUCGCGGCAACUCGAUCGCAGCUUCGCGCUGCUUCACAGUUCACACUUCACACUACCGUCGGUUGCUCCUGGGUCCUGCGCCUAUGCAACUGCAGCUUCC